GGACCAGCCGAUGGAUUUAUUAAUAAGAAUUGGAAGCAUCUGGAAAGUUGCACCAAAGAAGGUGAUAGUCCUGUACAAGUAGAAAGUUAAUAAAUUCUUGAGUAAGGCGGAGCACGAGAAAUUCUGUCUGAAAAUGGGGAGACCACUCUCCAAGGCUAAGUACUACUGAUUGACCGAUAGUGAACAAGUACCGUGAGGGAAAGGUGAAAAGCACCCCUAUAAGGGGAGUGAAAGAGAACCUGAAACCGAAUGCUUACAAGCAGUCGGAGGGUCUUUAAGGCCUGACGGCGUACCUUUUGUAUAAUGGGUCAGCGACUUAGUGUAUGUAGCAAGCUUAAGCCGAUAGGUGUAGGCGUAGCGAAAGCGAGUUUUAAUAGAGCGAUAAGUUACAUGCAUUAGACCCGAAACCGAGUGAUCUAGCCAUGAGCAGGUUGAAGGUUGGGUAACACCAACUGGAGGACCGCACCCAUAUCUGUUGAAAAAGAUAGGGAUGACUUGUGGCUAGGGGUGAAAGGCCAAUCAAACUCGGAAAUAGCUGGUUCUCCGCGAAAACUAUUUAGGUAGUGCGGUGAGCGGACACCUUGAGGGGUAGAGCACUGAAAGAGCUAAGGGGGAGCGAUCCUUACUAAACUUUAUCAAACUCCGAAUACUCAAGAGUGAUACUCACCAGACAGACAUUAGGUGCUAAGGUCUAGUGUCGAGAGGGAAAGAGCCCAGACCGUCAAUUAAGGUCCCAAAAUUAUGGCUAAGUGGUAAAGGAAGUGAAUUGUCCAAAACAGUCAGGAGGUUGGCUUAGAAGCAGCCAUCCUUUAAAGAAAGCGUAAUAGCUCACUGAUCUAAACAAGACGUCUUGCGCCGAAGAUGUAACGGGGCUAAAGCCAUAUACCGAAGUUGCGGAUUUACACGUUAAAGUGUAAGUGGUAGCGGAGCGUUCUGUAAGCCUGCGAAGGUGUACCGUAAGGUAUGCUGGAGGUAUCAGAAGUGAGAAUGCUGACAUGAGUAGCGAAAAGAAGAGUGAGAGACUCUUCCGCUGAAAGUCCAAGGUUUCCUGCGUAAAGCUAAUCUGCGCAGGGUUAGUCGGCCCCUAAGGCGAGGCAGAGAUGCGUAGUCGAUGGCAAUCAGGUUAAUAUUCCUGAACCGGCCCGGAAGUGACGGAUUGAGUAAAUUGUAAGUUCUUAUUGGAUUGAGCUUGCAGUGAAUCAGUCCCAGGAAAUAGCCCGGGUUAAGACCGUACCCGAAACCGACACAGGUGGACAGGUAGAGAAUACCAAAGCGCUUGAGAGAACUAUGUUGAAGGAACUAGGCAAAAUACUUGCGUAACUUCGGGAUAAGCAAGCCCCAUUUUAAGGCAACUUAAGGUGGGGGGCACAUACUAGGGGGUAGCGACUGUUUACUAAAAACACAGGACUCUGCUAAAUUGAAAGAUGAAGUAUAGGGUCUGACGCCUGCCCGGUGCUGGAAGGUUAAGGAGAGAUGUGCAAGCAUUGAACUGAAGCCCCAGUAAACGGCGGCCGUAACUAUAACGGUCCUAAGGUAGCGAAAUUCCUUGUCGGGUAAGUUCCGACCUGCACGAAUGGCGUAACGACUUCCCCGCUGUCUCCAACAUAGACUCAGCGAAAUUGAAUUCUGAGUUAAGAUGCUCAGUACCCGCGGUUAGACGGAAAGACCCCGUGAACCUUUACUAUAGCUUUGCAGUGGUAUUAGGUAACAAAUGUGUAGAAUAGGUGGGAUGCUAUGAAGCUACGACGCCAGUUGUAGUGGAGCAGACUUUGAAAUACCACCCUUUUGUUGUUUGAUAUCUAACCUGCUCCCGUUAUCCGGGAGAGGGACCCUGCAUGGUGGGUAGUUUGACUGGGGCGGUCGCCUCCCAAAGAGUAACGGAGGCGCGCAAAGGUUGGCUCAGAUUGGUCAGAAAUCAAUCGUCGAGUGCAAUGGCAUAAGCCAGCCUGACUGCGAGAGAGACAUUUCGAGCAGAGACGAAAGUCGGUCAUAGUGAUCCGGUGGUCCCGAGUGGAAGGGCCAUCGCUCAACGGAUAAAAGGUACUCCGGGGAUAACAGGCUGAUUCCGCCCAAGAGUUCACAUCGACGGCGGAGUUUGGCACCUCGAUGUCGGCUCAUCACAUCCUGGGGCUGGAGAAGGUCCCAAGGGUUCGGCUGUUCGCCGAUUAAAG
Molecule: ribosomal RNA, 2171 nt
Filed under: human gut metagenome
Description: bacterial LSU rRNA
Rfam family: Bacterial large subunit ribosomal RNA
Source: RNAcentral